GAGUGAGGGUGCUCCAUCAGUGAUGCCCACCACCCGCUGGUUCUCACAGCUGGACCUGUGGGCGUUCGUCUUUCCUCCCAGUUUCCUGGGUGCGGCUCCUACAGCUGCCAGCUCGGUGGGAGAAGAAAAGUGCUCAGGGCUGCGGAAGGUCUGUUCUUCCACCUUGGCUCCUCCAGAAGCUGCGAACCCUGUGAGAACCUCCACACUUGCUCAGAAGGCCUUUGUAAGUGCACAGGGGACUCAAGGUGCCUUAACAUCCAAGAGCCGAACAGGCUACAUCUCUAGCCACUUAGCCGGCCCCUU
Molecule: small nuclear RNA, 303 nt
Filed under: Dasypus novemcinctus (nine-banded armadillo)
Lineage: Eukaryota; Metazoa; Chordata; Mammalia; Cingulata; Dasypodidae
Description: 7SK RNA (ENSDNOG00000037392.1)
Rfam family: 7SK RNA
About the family: 7SK was discovered as an abundant small nuclear RNA in the mid-70s but a possible function has only recently been suggested. Two independent studies have found that 7SK RNA binds the CDK9/cyclin T complex (known as elongation factor P-TEFb). P-TEFb activates transcription by phosphorylating the C-terminal domain of RNA polymerase II.
Source: RNAcentral